This 263-nucleotide long non-coding RNA is filed under the name Mus spicilegus (steppe mouse). RNAcentral's name for it is "lncRNA (ENSMSIG00000005971.1)". The record is from RNAcentral. Lineage: Eukaryota; Metazoa; Chordata; Mammalia; Rodentia; Muridae.
CAAAAAGCCAGACUACUACUUGUGUCAUUUUCCUAGCUUCUCUUCUGCCAGAUCAAUAACUCUGCUCUUGGGAAAAGUAGAAUGGCUUUGUGCUCAGGUUUGGGCAAAGGUGUAAACAAAUUCAUUUUCUGACUUUCAGAUAAGGCUGGGCGACAUCUCCACUACAUCCUGCAGAGGAGAGAAGCCAUGUCAGGUGCAGAAGGAGAUCCUUAAAUUGUGGCUGGUAAUUGCAUACUCUUGGACGCAGCUUCAUGAAGACUAAA